GAUGAACGCUGGCGGCGUGCCUAAUACAUGCAAGUCGAGCGAACGGACGAGAAGCUUGCUUCUCUGAUGUUAGCGGCGGACGGGUGAGUAACACGUGGAUAACCUGCCUAUAAGACUGGGAUAACUUCGGGAAACCGGAGCUAAUACCGGAUAAUAUUUUGAACCGCAUGGUUCAAAAGUGAAAGACGGUCUUGCUGUCACUUAUAGAUGGAUCCGCGCUGCAUUAGCUAGUUGGUAAGGUAACGGCUUACCAAGGCAACGAUGCAUAGCCGACCUGAGAGGGUGAUCGGCCACACUGGAACUGAGACACGGUCCAGACUCCUACGGGAGGCAGCAGUAGGGAAUCUUCCGCAAUGGGCGAAAGCCUGACGGAGCAACGCCGCGUGAGUGAUGAAGGUCUUCGGAUCGUAAAACUCUGUUAUUAGGGAAGAACAUAUGUGUAAGUAACUGUGCACAUCUUGACGGUACCUAAUCAGAAAGCCACGGCUAACUACGUGCCAGCAGCCGCGGUAAUACGUAGGUGGCAAGCGUUAUCCGGAAUUAUUGGGCGUAAAGCGCGCGUAGGCGGUUUUUUAAGUCUGAUGUGAAAGCCCACGGCUCAACCGUGGGGGGUCAUUGGAAACUGGAAAACUUGAGUGCAGAAGAGGAAAGUGGAAUUCCAUGUGUAGCGGUGAAAUGCGCAGAGAUAUGGAGGAACACCAGUGGCGAAGGCGACUUUCUGGUCCGUAACUGACGCUGAUGUGCGAAAGCGUGGGGAUCAAACAGGAUUAGAUACCCUGGUAGUCCACGCCGUAAACGAUGAGUGCUAAGUGUUAGGGGGUUUCCGCCCCUUAGUGCUGCAGCUAACGCAUUAAGCACUCCGCCUGGGGAGUACGACCGCAAGGUUGAAACUCAAAGGAAUUGACGGGGACCCGCACAAGCGGUGGAGCAUGUGGUUUAAUUCGAAGCAACGCGAAGAACCUUACCAAAUCUUGACAUCCUUUGACAACUCUAGAGAUAGAGCCUUCCCCUUCGGGGGACAAAGUGACAGGUGGUGCAUGGUUGUCGUCAGCUCGUGUCGUGAGAUGUUGGGUUAAGUCCCGCAACGAGCGCAACCCUUAAGCUUAGUUGCCAUCAUUAAGUUGGGCACUCUAAGUUGACUGCCGGUGACAAACCGGAGGAAGGUGGGGAUGACGUCAAAUCAUCAUGCCCCUUAUGAUUUGGGCUACACACGUGCUACAAUGGACAAUACAAAGGGCAGCGAAACCGCGAGGUCAAGCAAAUCCCAUAAAGUUGUUCUCAGUUCGGAUUGUAGUCUGCAACUCGACUACAUGAAGCUGGAAUCGCUAGUAAUCGUAGAUCAGCAUGCUACGGUGAAUACGUUCCCGGGUCU
Molecule: ribosomal RNA, 1372 nt
Filed under: uncultured bacterium
Lineage: Bacteria
Description: bacterial SSU rRNA
Rfam family: Bacterial small subunit ribosomal RNA
Source: RNAcentral